Apodemus sylvaticus (European woodmouse) is the source of this 1848-nucleotide long non-coding RNA. RefSeq lists it as uncharacterized. The transcript has 4 exons. The record is from RefSeq and is a predicted model, not a curated record. NCBI's taxonomy places the organism in Eukaryota, Metazoa, Chordata, Mammalia, Rodentia, Muridae.
GCUCUGGUUGAUGGGUGGGGCAGUGUGUAAAGCUAGUUGGAAGGUUGUACUUGGCAGAUACGCUGUUAGCUACUAAAUACAUCAAGUCUUGAACAUGCCCAGGGUGUUCCUUUGGACUGUUUCUGGAAGAUUGUAUCUGGAGCAGACAUGCAUGUCGGGGUUUCCAUUGCUGUGAAGAGACACCAUGACCAAGGCAACUCUUAUAAACGACAGGAUUUAAUUGUGGCUGGAUUACUGGAUCUGAGGUUUAGUUCAUUAUCAUCAUGGCGGGAAGAAUGGCAGCAUCCAGGAGGUGUGGCAAACAGAAGGCAAACAGAAGACUGACUUCCAGGGAAGCUGACAUGAAGACUUUAGCAUAUUGCUGUGAACAAUGUCAGCUAUGCCGUGAUGGAGGACGGAUUUCCCCGUGGGGCAGUGAAGCUGCCUGCAUAGCUUGAGUGGCUGGCACAGAUCCCACAGUUCCUUGAUGUUCUGUGGUCAGUUUGCUGGUCCUCUUCUGCUGGCUUGCCAAGGCAACUGCUCUGCGAUGCUCACUCAUCCAAACACCGCUGUGUAGCAUGUUGUGUUUGCUACCCCAUUUUAAGCUCUGGGAACAGGCCUCACUACCAGCCCCCAUCCAGAUGCUCUUGGAUCCACGGAUAAAAAUAACACUCAAGUGUACACACACACACACACACACACACAGUCAGUUAAUCUUAAAUGACUGGGCACUCCUUGACUUCCCCUGCAACCCCAGGCAUAAUCAGAGUGGCCACUGGCCUAUCUAAUGGAAAACUCAUAUGGCUUUUUGGCUUUUUCUCCUGAAGCUACUAUCUCCUCCUCCUUCCCCAGUUCUCUUUGGGCUGCUAGCUUGGCUGGGGGACCCAGACGUCCCACCUAUUUUGCCUAGCUUAUUGGCUGGUAGCAUAUUUAGUGAUGGAUCAAGAACCAAUUGGGGAACAGGACCUUAGCAUCAGAACCACCGCUACACCCCUGUCAGCAGCUGCUCAGUCUUUCAGGUUAGACCCAAGCUAUCGGCAUGCAGGUCCAUAAUAUCUUCCAUUGACCUGAGACCUUCAUUUGAUUCCAGAGUCUCUUGAUUAAAGUUGCCCUGCCAUUUAUUAUCCGAACUAAGACACUUCUGAGAAUAAGGGAGGCAUGUUCAUAAUUACAGUGAGUUUGUCAGGCUCAUCAAGGUCCGUUCCCUGCAGAUUCCGACAUGCAGGCAGGUCUUCCUGGGUCAGCUUUAUCUUUUGCUUUUUUUUUUUUUUAAAGAAAAUUCAUGUCUGAAAUUUUAUACCUGCAUAACGUGUUUUGAUUAAAUUACCCCUGUUCUCUCACCAUACCACUCUCUUCACACACUUAUAUGCUCUAGCUCUGGUUUGCCCUUCCUUUGUAUUUCUAUUCUAGUCAGGUUCUCAAUAGACUGGAUCAUGCUCAUAUACACUGGACAGAAGAAGGUGAUAACGCCAUGCUGAUUGUGGUGGGCCUCUUCCAUAUAUGACUGCAUUGGAGUAUCCUGUUUUGGUGGGCCAUUGAUGGAUAACGAAUUGACAGAUGAAGGGUCAUUUUGUAUGGAAUCCUCUCUAUUGGAUGUGAUACAUGACAAUGAGGUGGAUUUCAUCAGAGACAUUUGAAUAUUCAUGGAUGGAAACAAAUUUGGAAGAGAAGAAAGCUAAACUCUCACAAGAAUUUAAGCAAAUGCUUAAAAUAAAAGCAAAACCAACCAACCAAUCAACCAAAGAAAAACAAUUAAAAAAAAACCUAUUUCAGAGACAGCGAGUUGAUUCAACCAGUAAAGGUGUUUGCUGCCAAGCCUAACAACCUGGAUUUGAUUCUAGACACACACACACACACACACACACACAC